Non-coding RNA from Eleginops maclovinus (Patagonian blennie), 817 nucleotides. Lineage: Eukaryota; Metazoa; Chordata; Actinopteri; Perciformes; Eleginopidae. The record is from the annotation of a RefSeq genome assembly.
GUCCCUGUAUAAUCUGAGUUCAUGAGUGGAGUUAGGGUCAUGGAGCGCCAGGCUGUGUGAGCGCUGGAAGUGGAGUAAAUAAGAUGUUUUUUGGAAGAGGAACCAGACUAACCAUUGAAACCAAAGAAGUAUCCCUGCCGUCCUACUACAAGCUGGAAGGUGACCACGGCUCGGUGUGUCUGGCCACCGGUUUCAACAAUAUCACAUACGCCCGGAAGGAAAACAGCUUGUUCCACAGGACGAGCGCCGUGAGGAUACGCUAUGACAAGCUGUACAACCAUCUGGCCUACCUGUCCUCUGGUAAUGAAACGUGUGAGACAGGCAAUACACCGGAUGUGUGUGUGGACACUUUGAAGCCAGACCCUCAGGUGAACAUGGCGUCUCUGACGGUGCUCGGGCUGCGACUGCUCUUCCUCAAGACUGUCGUCUUCAACGUCCUGCUGACGCUUCGCCUCUGGAUGACUUCCUAAGCUCUGCAGGAGACCCUGGAGGAUGGCAGAUGUCUGUUUCCUAAACGUGUGGAAUCCUCUGUUAAUAUCUUCAUCCUGCGGACAGACAUGGAAACACCUGUCACACCUUUCUUCUUCUUUGAGCUCUUUAAGAGAUCGUGUUGAUAUGAAUGCAUGGAUUUUGACUGUAAAUAUCUAACAUUUAACAGAUUACUAUGUCCCCUAAUUGAAUUAGUUUUAAACCGUGCCAGAUUCGUGCUUUAUAAUAGCUAGUUUUAGUUGCAUACUGACUGGAUAUGGAUCAGUACAUGUUUAAUCUGUGUGUGAUAUUUCCUGUGAUGUUAAAAUAAAAACUGAAAAAAAACUAA